UACGUAGGUGGCAAGCGUUAUCCGGAAUUACUGGGUGUAAAGGGCGCGCAGGCGGCCCUGCAAGUCGGAUGUGAAAGAUCAAGGCUCAACCUUGACAGGCCAUUCGAAACUGUGGGACUUGAGUGUCAGAGGGGAAAGUGGAAUUCCUAGUGGAGCGGUAAAAUGCGCAGAUAUUAGGAGGAACACCAGUGGCGAAGGCGACUUACUGGACUGUAACUGACGCUGAGUCACGAAAGCGUGGGUAGCAAACAGGAUUAGAUACCCCGGUA
This 269-nucleotide ribosomal RNA is filed under the name uncultured prokaryote. RNAcentral's name for it is "partial 16S ribosomal RNA". It matches the Rfam family "Bacterial small subunit ribosomal RNA", at positions 524 to 792 of the family's 1533-position model. The record is from RNAcentral.